This 405-nucleotide ribosomal RNA is filed under the name uncultured bacterium. Its description in RNAcentral is "partial 16S ribosomal RNA". It matches the Rfam family "Bacterial small subunit ribosomal RNA", at positions 30 to 526 of the family's 1533-position model. The record is from RNAcentral.
AUUGAACGCUGGCGGCAGGCCUCACACAUGCAAGUCGAACGAGUGGCGGACGGGUGAGUAAUGUAUGGGAAACUGCCCGAGGGAGGGGGAUAACUACUGGACACGGUAGCUAAUACCGCAUACCAUCGGAUGUUCCCAGAUGGGAUUAGAUAGUAGGUAGGGUAACGGCUCACCUAGGCUACGAUCCCUAGCUGGUCUGAGAGGAUGAACAGCCACGCUGGACCUGAGACACGGUCCAGACUCCUAGGGGAGGAAGCAGGGGGGAAUAUUGAACAAUGGGCGCAAUCCUGAUGCAGGCAGGCCGCGUGUAUGAAGAAGUCUUGCGGGGUGAAAAGUACUUUCAGCGAGGAGGCGUGACUCGCAGAAGAAGCACCGGCUAACUCCGUGUCAGCAGCCGCGUAAUAC